Molecule: long non-coding RNA, 278 nt
Filed under: Lactuca sativa (garden lettuce)
Lineage: Eukaryota; Viridiplantae; Streptophyta; Magnoliopsida; Asterales; Asteraceae
Description: long non-coding RNA (LSAT_LNC007596)
Source: RNAcentral
GAAUUCGUUACAGAAACUCAGCCCACUCGAGCAGCAACAAAAAGAAAAGAGAAGGCGGAGGCUAGAUAUGUAACAACCCAAAAUCCAGGUAAGCUUAUGGCNGAAGGCGGAGGCUAGAUGUUGGGAACCUUUGGAAGCGUUAGUGUUGGGACAAUCUUAGAUCGAUAUUUCAGAAGAUGUAACGGUUGGAAAAUACCAAAAGCAUGACCGCUUUUGGAUUCGCAUUUUACACAGGUUCCAUAAAGGAAUGAACCGUGGACAAUACCGUUCAAAACAUC